This is a long non-coding RNA of Oncorhynchus tshawytscha (Chinook salmon), 3903 nucleotides long. The record is from Ensembl. NCBI's taxonomy places the organism in Eukaryota, Metazoa, Chordata, Actinopteri, Salmoniformes, Salmonidae.
CCACGGUCAAGGGAAGAAGGAUGGAAGAAUUUUGAUUCAGGGCAUGUGGUGGUACCAAAAACGCACCACCACAUGCAAAAUAUUAUUUUACCCACCAAAAAAGUAUCACCACAUGCCCCGAAUCACGUUCUUCCAUCCUCUUCCUUGUUGGUGGCCUCUUAUCACCUUCAUAAGUGGGUUAGUCCCGCACACUAACUCCAUGGGAACCGGGACUUUUUGACGAAGAGCUCGGUUGAACCGCAAAGAGGAGGAAGAUUUGUGACAGCGCACAAGGAAGGACACGGCUGCUCGUUACACGACAGUUCGUGUGGGUAGACCGUGCUUGUCGGCAGUGUGGCGAACCGAACCGCAGCCUCUUCUACAGUUGUUUUUUUGACGGAGAAUGUAUCAUACUCACCUCUACUCAAUGAACCUACCUUGAGCUCAUUAUUUUGUUGUGGUUUUCGGCGUCAAAGCGACAGAGAUGGAAAGCAAGUUAGCCAGCACUACUCCAUCUUCCUCUUCAUUUGAUAUGCAGCUACUGACAUAACCAGUGCAGCGGAAGAUGGACAUCCAGAGUGGCAUACAAAAGGCAGUGGAGCCCCUCCCUACCUCUCUCCCCUCCUCCCCUCAACAGUCGGGUGCCCAUCAGCAGAGCGAGCCGGAGGACAGCCAGGCAGAGCAGAGCGCCAGGCCCACCGCUGACAACCACAGCAAGGACACCCAGCCAGCCGCCGGCCACCGAGACGACAAAAAAUAUUUCAGUGUGGAGUCGAUUGAUGGGACUAUGUUUCAUGAAGCCAUUAGAAGACUGUUGCUGACUGAGAGGAGGGGCUGUCAGGAGAAACACUUUCACAUCCAAGGUUACAGAUGGAGAGACAGAGAAGUUCGUCAUAAGGUGGCUGCAGCUUGCACCAGACAGAGACGGACACAGGAAGGAGAGGACCGAACACAGCAAGGAAAGGGCAGAUAGACCCCAAGAGAAAUAGAUACAUUGACAUACACGCAUACAUACAUGGGAUAAAGGGAUGAACACUGACUCUUUGUACAUUAUCUGGAAAUAAUGGACGACUUGGUACUGCCCGAGUUUAUUAGUUCCAAGUAAUGUACAGAGCGGAGGCGUUUAUCCCGCUUAUUCCACGGUUGCCAAAGAAAACAAGACCACAUUUACUGGUAAAAAUGUACAUGUUUUCUUUGAGAUUAGAAUUUUGAUAAGUAAAUUCAUGCUAUUUCAUCCUUCCCGUUGUGCUGUCGGUUCGGUUGAUAGAGAAGCGGACUUGUUGUUCAUUCGAUUAAUUUGAUUGCUAUGCAGGCUGGCAAUGUUCUUAUCCCUUACUUGCUAGGUAGCCAACUAUGGCUAACCCAGUCGCUUCAACUAUGCACAGAAUAACAUCAAAGUAGCUGCAUUAGCGUUUUUUUUAAGCUGUUUUCUAGUGACAUUUAUUUGGAUAUGACCAUGCUACUGUACCUAAGUAGUACUUGUUGAGGGAUGACACGCACUCAAAAGUAAAUUUCAUAUAUUUAAAUAAAAAAGGUAAAAUGAGAAAAUGUCAUGUCUUUUUUUAUGCUUAUGUUGUUCAUAGUUCGGUUAAUAGCUGCAAUAUUACUUCCUCAAUUUAACAUCAUUAUUCUUUUUUGAGUGUGUGUGUGGGGUGGGGGGUUGAAUCAAGUGGAUCUGGGCCAAUUCUGGCCCUAAAAUGGCAGCUUUGGCUUAGUUCAGGCUGCCAGAUCUGGGCCGAAUUACUCUGGCCUAGUCUGCCGUCAUUCAUUUCGGACUCGGGCGAAAUCCAGCUUCCAGACCCAGGCCAGCAGUUUUAGAUCUGGCAUGUCAGAAUCAGGCCAGAUGUGGGCCAGACAUUUUUGUUGUUAGUGAGAGGGGCUUGGUGUGUGUGUGUAAACCAGAGGAAGAGAAGAAGUAAGAAGUUUCACUCUCACUAAAUUCCGUCCAAAAUAAGUCCAAUGCGUUGCUAUGGGCUUGUUUUGGACCUAACUUGUCACCUGCAUUCCCUCCUUUGGGACAAUGACUCCCAUUGUUAGGGCGGAGUCGUGCAUUUCCUCAUUUUAUACAGAUCUCUGGUCUAAAUGGAAAGAUGCACACAGCACAGGAGCGAAGGAGACGAGAAAACAUGUGGACAAACGUUCAUAAACUCAAACGACUUAAAAACGUGAUUCUUGUAAUACAGGCAUUUGGAAUAUCGUGCAAAAACAUAAAAUUGGAAUUCAUCGAAUUAAAUUGAUAUAUUGCCCAGCCCUACUACAACUAGCUUUUUGCCUCUAUUUUCAUGCUCAGGCUGUCAAAAAAAAUCCCACAAAUAUUCCUGGGCUGAAAGACAGCAUGUAGAAAAAGGUUCUCCGUGUACAGUGUAUUCUGACACAAACAAUAAGCGAGAUGGAAAAAGACCAAGAAAACUCAGAAGGGUUCAGACUUCAGAGUCAAAAGCCUUCAUGUAAUUUUUAUGUGACACACACCAGGGUUUCCAUUAGCCGGUAAAUGCUGGCUUUUGGCCGAUUAAAAAAAAAAAAAACGAAAAGCAGAUAAGUAAAAUUAUUGCCGCUCAAAUUGUAGAGAAAAAUAAAAAACCAUUGCGAAAUAAUGCGUUUUAUUCAUUGAUGGAAAUACCAGUCGAUGUGCUCCAACUUCAAAGGCAAAUAUACUUCAUAGACUAAUAAAGUAAGCUUUCUCUCAAUGAUUAGCCAAAUGUGUUUUAUUUACAUAUCGAAUUUGAUUGUUCAACAUCAGUUUUGGAAUUUCUUCAUUUUGUGGCCACCUAGAGUGUCCUCUUGCCACUGCUGUGGUGCUGAAUCGCAAUGGGAAUGAGGAGUAGGGUGGGACAGCCCAGUCAUGGCUAGAAGGGAUCUAGCUUUUGUCAAAUUAAUGUCAAAUGUAGAUUUUUUUUUAUUUUAGCUAACCCUAACUCUUUUCCUAACCUAAACCUAAUUUUCAACACCCUCUUUUAUACUACCUCUCAGGCUGGGAGAGGGGGGAGCUGGGUGAUAUCAGAGUAAAAUUGAUUACUCACAGAGCACACACCUGCCAGAGCCACAGGUUGUGUGUCAUUUACAUUAAAUGUUUGUCACUUACAGGAGCAAUCAGGGUUAAGUGCCUUGCUCAAGGGUUACUGGCCCAACGCUCUUAACCGAUAGGCUACCUGCCGCCUGCUGUGUGUGAGUGUGUGAGAGAGAGAGAAAUAAAGAGUGUGUGUGUGUGUGUGUGUGUCAGGGUUUCCGCCAGGAAAAUUUGGCACCGGAUUAACCUGAGUUAAUUCUCCAAACCUGCUGUGUAAAUUCUCCUAACCUGCUACGAAAAGUCAAAUCUGAUGUUUACAAAAACUGGAUCCCUUCUAGCCAUGACCGGCCGGCCCUGGUGUUUGUAGACAGCCAUGUUUUGUUAUUUAUUAGUUAAAAUGUUCAUUCCUAGGCUAAAUUAAAUUAGAGGCCUAGAUUGUAUUUGGAAUCAGUUGUUUUAUUAUUUAUUCAUUAAAAUGUGCAUACAAAUAGCCUUUAGGACAGGUCGUUCGCAAAUUAUUUUAUACAAAAUCUAUAUUUUGAAGUAGGCGACUUCUUAUAGGCUAAUUAUUGUUAUUAUGUUUUAUGAUAAUCAUUUGUGAUUUAUAGCAAGGAUGAAGACGCAACAGGCAAUGCUUUGCUUAUCAAAUAAAACCUGUCAUGUUGCUAUAAGAACAUCAUUCUACUUUAUUUGUUUACAACUUUACAAGCUAAUUUCUAUUCUGUUAAAAUGAAUGACAAUCUAAAUGUGAUUUUUGAGCACCGUGGGUAGACAUCCUAAUGGGUUACAAAGCCAAUGCAUAUGGAUGUCCAGUAUAUUUCUCAAAUGUCCAGUAAAUUUAAAAUCUGUCCGGUCACGUUGUCCGGUGCCAAAUUUUCCUGGCGGAAACCCUGACACAUACACACACACACACACAC